Molecule: ribosomal RNA, 410 nt
Filed under: uncultured microorganism
Description: bacterial SSU rRNA
Rfam family: Bacterial small subunit ribosomal RNA
Source: RNAcentral
CAGCCGCCGCGGUAAUACGUAGGUGGCAAGCGUUGUCCGGAAUUAUUGGGCGUAAAGCGCGCGCAGGCGGUCCUUUAAGUCUGAUGUGAAAGCCCCCGGCUCAACCGGGGAGGGUCAUUGGAAACUGGGGGACUUGAGUGCAGGAGAGGGAAGUGGAAUUCCACGUGUAGCGGUGAAAUGCGUAGAGAUGUGGAGGAACACCAGUGGCGAAGGCGGCUUCCUGGCCUGUAACUGACGCUGAGGCGCGAAAGCGUGGGGAGCAAACAGGAUUAGAUCCCCUGGUAGUCCACGCCGUAAACGAUGAGUGCUAAGUGUUAGGGGGUUUCCGCCCCUUAGUGCUGCAGCUAACGCAUUAAGCACUCCGCCUGGGGAGUACGGCCGCAAGGCUGAAACUUAAAGGAAUUGGCGGG